This 301-nucleotide ribosomal RNA is filed under the name uncultured bacterium. RNAcentral's name for it is "partial 16S ribosomal RNA". It matches the Rfam family "Bacterial small subunit ribosomal RNA", at positions 509 to 808 of the family's 1533-position model. The record is from RNAcentral.
CAGCCGCCGCGGUAAUACGAAGGGGGCUAGCGUUGUUCGGAAUUACUGGGCGUAAAGCGCACGUAGGCGGAUAUUUAAGUCAGGGGUGAAAUCCCGCAGCUCAACUGCGGAACUGCCUUUGAUACUGGGUAUCUUGAGUAUGGAAGAGGUUAGUGGAAUUGCGAGUGUAGAGGUGAAAUUCGUAGAUAUUCGCAGGAACACCAGUGGCGAAGGCGGCUAACUGGUCCAUAACUGACGCUGAGGUGCGAAAGCGUGGGGAGCAAACAGGAUUAGAUACCCGUGUAGUCCCCUGUCUCUUAUA